RNAcentral lists this ribosomal RNA (426 nucleotides) under uncultured bacterium. RNAcentral describes it as "bacterial SSU rRNA". It matches the Rfam family "Bacterial small subunit ribosomal RNA", at positions 355 to 773 of the family's 1533-position model. The record is from RNAcentral.
UGGGGAAUCUUGCGCAAUGCGCGAAAGCGUGACGCAGCAACGCCGCGUGGGGGAAGACGGCCUUCGGGUUGUAAACCCCUUUCAGGAGGGACGAAGGUUCACCGGUGAAUAGCCGUGUGGAUUGACGGUACCUCCACAAGAAGCUCCGGCUAACUACGUGCCAGCAGCCGCGGUAAUACGUAGGGAGCAAGCGUUGUCCGGAAUCAUUGGGCGUAAAGCGCGCGUAGGUGGCUUCGUAAGUCCGUUGUGAAAGUCAAAGGCUCAACCUUUGAAAGCCGAUGGAUACUGCGGAGCUAGAGUACGGAAGAGGCGAGUGGAAUUCCUGGUGUAGCGGUGGAAUGCGCAGAUAUCAGGAGGAACACCAAUAGCGAAGGCAGCUCGCUGGGACGUUACUGACACUGAGGCGCGAAAGCGUGGGGAGCGAAC